Molecule: ribosomal RNA, 2786 nt
Filed under: Escherichia coli
Lineage: Bacteria; Pseudomonadati; Pseudomonadota; Gammaproteobacteria; Enterobacterales; Enterobacteriaceae
Description: bacterial LSU rRNA
Rfam family: Bacterial large subunit ribosomal RNA
Source: RNAcentral
AGCGUACACGGUGGAUGCCCUGGCAGUCAGAGGCGAUGAAGGACGUGCUAAUCUGCGAUAAGCGUCGGUAAGGUGAUAUGAACCGUUAUAACCGGCGAUUUCCGAAUGGGGAAACCCAGUGUGAUUCGUCACACUAUCAUUAACUGAAUCCAUAGGUUAAUGAGGCGAACCGGGGGAACUGAAACAUCUAAGUACCCCGAGGAAAAGAAAUCAACCGAGAUUCCCCCAGUAGCGGCGAGCGAACGGGGAGCAGCCCAGAGCCUGAAUCAGUGUGUGUGUUAGUGGAAGCGUCUGGAAAGGCGCGCGAUACAGGGUGACAGCCCCGUACACAAAAAUGCACAUGCUGUGAGCUCGAUGAGUAGGGCGGGACACGUGGUAUCCUGUCUGAAUAUGGGGGGACCAUCCUCCAAGGCUAAAUACUCCUGACUGACCGAUAGUGAACCAGUACCGUGAGGGAAAGGCGAAAAGAACCCCGGCGAGGGGAGUGAAAAAGAACCUGAAACCGUGUACGUACAAGCAGUGGGAGCACGCUUAGGCGUGUGACUGCGUACCUUUUGUAUAAUGGGUCAGCGACUUAUAUUCUGUAGCAAGGUUAACCGAAUAGGGGAGCCGAAGGGAAACCGAGUCUUAACUGGGCGUUAAGUUGCAGGGUAUAGACCCGAAACCCGGUGAUCUAGCCAUGGGCAGGUUGAAGGUUGGGUAACACUAACUGGAGGACCGAACCGACUAAUGUUGAAAAAUUAGCGGAUGACUUGUGGCUGGGGGUGAAAGGCCAAUCAAACCGGGAGAUAGCUGGUUCUCCCCGAAAGCUAUUUAGGUAGCGCCUCGUGAAUUCAUCUCCGGGGGUAGAGCACUGUUUCGGCAAGGGGGUCAUCCCGACUUACCAACCCGAUGCAAACUGCGAAUACCGGAGAAUGUUAUCACGGGAGACACACGGCGGGUGCUAACGUCCGUCGUGAAGAGGGAAACAACCCAGACCGCCAGCUAAGGUCCCAAAGUCAUGGUUAAGUGGGAAACGAUGUGGGAAGGCCCAGACAGCCAGGAUGUUGGCUUAGAAGCAGCCAUCAUUUAAAGAAAGCGUAAUAGCUCACUGGUCGAGUCGGCCUGCGCGGAAGAUGUAACGGGGCUAAACCAUGCACCGAAGCUGCGGCAGCGACACUAUGUGUUGUUGGGUAGGGGAGCGUUCUGUAAGCCUGUGAAGGUGUACUGUGAGGUAUGCUGGAGGUAUCAGAAGUGCGAAUGCUGACAUAAGUAACGAUAAAGCGGGUGAAAAGCCCGCUCGCCGGAAGACCAAGGGUUCCUGUCCAACGUUAAUCGGGGCAGGGUGAGUCGACCCCUAAGGCGAGGCCGAAAGGCGUAGUCGAUGGGAAACAGGUUAAUAUUCCUGUACUUGGUGUUACUGCGAAGGGGGGACGGAGAAGGCUAUGUUGGCCGGGCGACGGUUGUCCCGGUUUAAGCGUGUAGGCUGGUUUUCCAGGCAAAUCCGGAAAAUCAAGGCUGAGGCGUGAUGACGAGGCACUACGGUGCUGAAGCAACAAAUGCCCUGCUUCCAGGAAAAGCCUCUAAGCAUCAGGUAACAUCAAAUCGUACCCCAAACCGACACAGGUGGUCAGGUAGAGAAUACCAAGGCGCUUGAGAGAACUCGGGUGAAGGAACUAGGCAAAAUGGUGCCGUAACUUCGGGAGAAGGCACGCUGAUAUGUAGGUGAAGUCCCUCGCGGAUGGAGCUGAAAUCAGUCGAAGAUACCAGCUGGCUGCAACUGUUUAUUAAAAACACAGCACUGUGCAAACACGAAAGUGGACGUAUACGGUGUGACGCCUGCCCGGUGCCGGAAGGUUAAUUGAUGGGGUCAGCGCAAGCGAAGCUCUUGAUCGAAGCCCCGGUAAACGGCGGCCGUAACUAUAACGGUCCUAAGGUAGCGAAAUUCCUUGUCGGGUAAGUUCCGACCUGCACGAAUGGCGUAAUGAUGGCCAGGCUGUCUCCACCCGAGACUCAGUGAAAUUGAACUCGCUGUGAAGAUGCAGUGUACCCGCGGCAAGACGGAAAGACCCCGUGAACCUUUACUAUAGCUUGACACUGAACAUUGAGCCUUGAUGUGUAGGAUAGGUGGGAGGCUUUGAAGUGUGGACGCCAGUCUGCAUGGAGCCGACCUUGAAAUACCACCCUUUAAUGUUUGAUGUUCUAACGUUGACCCGUGAUCCGGGUUGCGGACAGUGUCUGGUGGGUAGUUUGACUGGGGCGGUCUCCUCCUAAAGAGUAACGGAGGAGCACGAAGGUUGGCUAAUCCUGGUCGGACAUCAGGAGGUUAGUGCAAUGGCAUAAGCCAGCUUGACUGCGAGCGUGACGGCGCGAGCAGGUGCGAAAGCAGGUCAUAGUGAUCCGGUGGUUCUGAAUGGAAGGGCCAUCGCUCAACGGAUAAAAGGUACUCCGGGGAUAACAGGCUGAUACCGCCCAAGAGUUCAUAUCGACGGCGGUGUUUGGCACCUCGAUGUCGGCUCAUCACAUCCUGGGGCUGAAGUAGGUCCCAAGGGUAUGGCUGUUCGCCAUUUAAAGUGGUACGCGAGCUGGGUUUAGAACGUCGUGAGACAGUUCGGUCCCUAUCUGCCGUGGGCGCUGGAGAACUGAGGGGGGCUGCUCCUAGUACGAGAGGACCGGAGUGGACGCAUCACUGGUGUUCGGGUUGUCAUGCCAAUGGCACUGCCCGGUAGCUAAAUGCGGAAGAGAUAAGUGCUGAAAGCAUCUAAGCACGAAACUUGCCCCGAGAUGAGUUCUCCCUGACUCCUUGA